Molecule: ribosomal RNA, 533 nt
Filed under: uncultured Pseudomonadota bacterium
Lineage: Bacteria; Pseudomonadati; Pseudomonadota
Description: bacterial SSU rRNA
Rfam family: Bacterial small subunit ribosomal RNA
Source: RNAcentral
AGAGUUUGAUCAUGGCUCAGAGCGAACGUUAGCGGCGGGCCUAACACAUGCAAGUCGAGCGAGAAAGGGGCUUCGGCCCUGAGUAAAGCGGCGGACGGGUGAGUAAUACGUAGGUAAUCUUCCCUUGAGCGGGGGACAACGUUCCGAAAGGGACGCUAAUACCGCAUAAGUUCUUUGGGACUCUGGUCCUGAAGAGGAAAGCUAGGUAGCAAUAUCUGGCACUCGAGGAGGAGCCUACGUCGCAUCAGCUAGUUGGUGGGGUAAUGGCCUACCAAGGCGAAGACGCGUAGCUGGUCUGAGAGGAUGAUCAGCCACACUGGGACUGAGACACGGCCCAGACUCCUACGGGAGGCAGCAGUGGGGAAUAUUGGACAAUGGGCGCAAGCCUGAUCCAGCCACGCCGCGUGAGUGAUGAAGGCCUUCGGGUCGUAAAGCUCUGUGGGGAGGGACGAACCGCUGCACGUGAAUAUCGUGCAGCAUGACGGUACCUCCUUAGCAAGCACCGGCUAACUUUCGUGCCAGCAGCCGCGGUA